Molecule: ribosomal RNA, 391 nt
Filed under: Chrysophyceae sp.
Lineage: Eukaryota; Chrysophyceae
Description: partial small subunit ribosomal RNA
Rfam family: Eukaryotic small subunit ribosomal RNA
Source: RNAcentral
AUUCCAGCUCCAAUAGCGUAUACUAAAGUUGUUGCGGUUAAAAAGCUCGUAGUUGAAUUUCUGGAUGUGAAAGGUGGUCGGCACCUCACGGUGUCUGUACUUAUCAUUCGCGUCCAUCCUCGGGAGGAACAUGUGGACACUUAAGUGGGUCUGCUUGGGAAUCUCGUCAUUUACUGUGAGCAAAAUAGAGUGUUCAAAGCAGGCUUAUGCCGUUGAAUAUAUUAGCAUGGAAUAAUAAGAUACGACUUUGGUCUAUUUUGUUGGUUUACAUUCCAAAGUAAUGAUUAAUAGGGAUAGUUGGGGGUAUUCGUAUUCAAUUGUCAGAGGUGAAAUUCUUGGAUUUAUGGAAGACGAACUACUGCGAAAGCAUUUACCAAGGAUGUUUUCAUCA